RNAcentral lists this long non-coding RNA (5650 nucleotides) under Canis lupus familiaris (dog). RNAcentral describes it as "lncRNA (ENSCAFG00845001978.1)". Lineage: Eukaryota; Metazoa; Chordata; Mammalia; Carnivora; Canidae. The record is from RNAcentral.
UUUUUCGUUCAUUGACUUUUUUUAGUUUUCUGAAUUUGUUUUUAUUUAAAAUAAUUUUAAUUAUAUAACUAUUAAAUUAAUCCUUGCAUAGAAUUUCAAAUAAUGGUAAAUGUUCCUUGGAUUUCUAUCCAAUUCCCCUUUUCUUUCCAAAUGAGUAAUCACUGUUAGCUUUACUGUUAAUAUGUAUUGAUAUAUGCACAUAUAAAAUACAUAAAUACAUAUAUACAUAUAAAAUAUGUGACCUUUGUGUACUUAUAUUUAUUUUACAUAAAUAGAAUUAUACACCAAUGAUAUUUUUUCCUUAACUAUUUUCUUAAUAAUCUUUUCAUGUCAGUAAUAGAGAUCUGCUAUAACAGUUCAGCGUUAUUUUAUUCUCUUUUAACAAAUCCACCCACUAUGGAUAUUUGAGUUACCUCCAUUUUGUUUUGUUUGUUUUGUUUUAUUCUCUCCUGUUUUUUUAAAGACUUGAUUUUUUUACAGCAGUUUUAGGUUCAUAAUGACAUUGAGCAGAAGGCACAGAGAUAUUGCUUAUACUCCCUUCCCCUACACAUGCAUAGUGUCCCCUAUUCUCAACAUUCUGCAGCAGAAUGGUAUAUGUCUUAUAAUUGAUUAAUUUACCCUGCCACAUAAUUGGCACCCAAAUUUCAUAGUUUACAUUAGAGUUUACUCUUUGGUGUUGCACAUUCUAUGGGUUUGGACAAAUAUAUAAAGGCAUGUAUCCACUUUAAUAUCAUACACAGUAUUUUCAGUGUCACAAAAAUUCUUUGUGGUCCAUCUAUUCAUCUUCCCUCAUGCAUCCUCCAUUUUUAAUAUUACUGUCAAUUUGUGUCUAUUAAUAUUUACUUUAUAUAUUUAGGUGCUCCUGUAAUGGGUGAAUAAAUAUUUAUGAAUGCUAUAUCUUCUUGAAUUCAUCCUUUUAUCAUUAGGUAAUACCCUUCUUUGUUUUGUUACAGUCUUUGUUUUAAAGUCUAUUUUGUCUGAUAUGAGUAUUGCUCCACCAGCUUUUUUUUCACAGCCAUGUGCAUGAAAUACCUUUUUCCAUUCCCUCAAUUUCAGUCUACAUUUGUCUUUAGGUCUUCAGUUUCUUGUCCCCAGUAUAUAAUGAGUCUUGAUUUUUAACUAUUUAGCCACCUUAUGUCUUUUUAUUAGAGUAUUUAAACCAUUUACAUUUAAAGUAAUUAUUGAUAGGUAUGUAUUUACUGUCAUUUUGUUUAUUGUUUUCUGGUUGGUCAUCUUCCAUUUUUUACCAUUGGAAAAAAUGCCAUAAAACUCAAUGAACAUGACUAUACACUAUUUUUUUUCCUAGGAUAUUAUAUUAGCCCAGACUGCCGUAACAAAAUACUAUAGACUAGUGGCUUAAAGAAGAGAAAUUUAUUCCGCCACAAUUCUGGAGGCUGGAAGUCUGAGAUCAGGGUGCUAUCUUGUGAGAUUCUGGUGAGAGUUUUCUUCAUGGCUUGCAGAGAGCAUGUUUCUUAUUUAUUUAUUUAUUUAUUUAUUUAUUUAUUUAUUUAUUUAUGAUAGUCACACAGAGAGAGAGAGAGAGAGAGAGAGAGGCAGAGACACAGGCAGAGGGAGAAGCAGGCUCCAUGCACCGGGAGCCCGACGUGGGACUCGAUCCCGAGUCUCCAGGAUUGCGCCCUGGGCCAAAGGCAGGCGCCAAACCGCUGCGCCACCCAGGGAUCCCAGAGAGCAUGUUUCUUAUUGUGAUGUCAUAUAGCAGAGACAAAGAAAGUAAGCUCCCUCAUGUCUUUCUUUGAAAGGAUCCACCCUCAUGACUUCAUCUAACCCUAAUUACUUCCAUAAGUCCCCAUUUCCUAAUAUCAUCACAUUAGAAGCAAAAAUCUCAAGAUAUGAAUUUUGUAGACACAAUAACAUUCAGUACAUAGUAGAUACAUACUUGGGAGGUGUUGCGUGGAAGGUUCUACCAGAUUGUUUCCUGAAAGGACUACUAACUUACCCGAAUACCAAAAUGCUUGAAACUAUCCUAUGCCCAACACCACUGCCAUUGGAUUUUCAAUCUUUCUUAAUUGUUUACAAUUUUCUGAGGAACAUUUACUAUCUCAUUGUUUUAAUUUGUACUUAAGAGGUACAAUGAGGUUUUAGGACAUGCAAUGUUCAUUGGUUCUAUGCACUUUAUCUUUGAAUUACCUACUCAUUUCCUCUGCUCAUUUUCCUGUUGUGUUUUUGUGCUGUGUUGUUUGGAGGAGUUCUUUAUAUAUUUUGAAUAUGAUCCACUGUAAACUCUGUGAUGGCAGAAGAUUUUUUUAUCUACUUUGUUCACUGUUAGAUCCCCAGGGCCUAAAACAGCAUCUGGCACAUAUUGUAGGUUCAAUAAAUGUUUGCUGGAAGAAUGAAUAAGAAAGUGAAGAGAUAAAGAAGUUGUAAACGUUUUUUUCAGUAGUGCUUGUCUUGACUUUAUAGUGUCCAAUUUAAACAAAAGUUUUAAAACUUCAAUAUGAUUAUAUUUAUUUAUUCUGCUAAAUAUUCUACAGUGUGUCUUAUAAUUAUUUCAACUAAAGAUUGUAAACAUAUUCUCCUUUAUUUUCCUCUAAUUCUAUGCUACUUUUUCCUACUUUAUUCAUGCUUAGUCAAUUUAAUCCAUUUUUCUUUGCUCAUGAUCUCUAUAGUCUGAAUACAGCAGUAAUUGUAUUUAUAUAUAUUAAUUAAGAAAUCAAUUUUAUUUAAUAUCAUGGUACAAUCUUUAUAUAAAAUCACAUUACAGACAUAAUUUUUUAUGGUUGAAAAACUUAAAAUACAAUGUGACUGCAUUUUAUCUUGGAUCCUGCCCUCCCAAUGCACAUUCAAACAUGGAGUGGUACAUAAGGUUAUGUUUCUGUAAUAGUGUACUUUGAUAGUCACAGCAAUCUCAAGAAAGGGGCUCCAGGAAAUAUUUUAUAAGACAGGACACUAUUUCCAUUUGUAUUCAACUUAUUAUUUAAAAUUAAAUUACAAAAAAAUUAAAUUAAAUUAAAUUAAAUUACACAGUAGAUUGGGCUCUGGAUAAAAUAUUCUAAAUAAGAUAGAUAAUGUCAACACCACUAUUUCUUUGCAUGCCUGCUAAGUAAAACUCACAGAAGCAAAACACUAGGAUAUGAUAUCAAGCAAAGCUUUCAGAAACUUAGCAAAAGUAUAUGUUUGGGGAAAAAAAGUGAGGUGUACACACCAAAGUUACCUUGAGAACAAGAACAGAAAAGUCUCCUGUGAAUGUUUCUUAUCAGCAAUAUACUCUGGAAAAGAUUAACAGUCAUAUCUGUCUUUUUGACCACAUCCCCACUCCUGAGUAGUAGCACUGUCAACACAUAAUAUGAAAGCCAUCAAUACAUGUUGACAGUGUUUGCACUCCAGGUGGUGAGAAACUCUAUGAGCUGAGGAAGGAAAUACAAAGAUCAGGAAGUAAUAUCUUGGACUGAGAUGAGAAGUAGAACAAACUAUGGAAGAAGGGAGAUGGAAGCAUCUAAAGUGAUCUAAAUAAGAGAGAAGAGAGAACUGAUCAUUUAAAGAACAGAGACAAUACAUGCAUAUUAAUUUAAAUCAAAACAAAAGCACCUGUUAUAUUAUUUAUUAAAGGACUGCAUACAAAGAUGAUUCGUGCAGGUAUUAUCCAUGUGUAGUCAUCCACUGGAAAGGCCAGCACAUGACUAAGAACUUUUCCUUUGGCUGAAUAAUUAUUUAUAUAGUACUUUUCUUCUGUAAGUAAAAAUUACUAAUCAAAUGUAACCUGAUCAAUUCUGAACUAUAUUGUAGAAAAGAAGUUAACAGAUGGAAUCACUUCACUGAGAGAGAAGUAAAUGAGACAGAGGGAUGUAAAAUGACUUCCUAAAAAAAGACAGUCUACCCAUAAAGAGUAUGCACGUCUAUUUAUUUAAUAAAAUCUACUAGCUAUUUGAUAGGUAUCUAUUGAACAUAGUUCUGGCAAGCCUAAGUUUUAGAUUCAGAAAUUAAAUUCUGCCCUUGAUAAUUUAACACCACUUAAUGUCCCAUGAUCCACACAAAAUGGCAGCUACACAUGAGUCAAACGAAGACAGUAUGCACCUAAAAGUGAUUUAGCCAGUAAAUUACCAUUUCCACCAGUUUUAAAAUCAAAUCUGCCUCUAAUUUAGCUUUAUAAAUUGGAAGUAUAUAUAUUGGAAUCAUCUCCAACUGCUAACAAAAUACUUUUAAAAACACACAAAUGUGUUGUUUGGAAAAUAUAUUAAAUUCAACAAAUAUUGAUUGAGCAACUACUGUGUGCCAGCAGCUAGAAACAAUAAGGUAACUGGAAAAUGGUCCCUGUUCCUAAGGUGCUGACAAUCUAAUAAAGUCUGUUUGGGAGAGUUUUAUAGAGCUCAAGAGGCAAGAGAGACAUUAAACUCUGCUUGAACAGCAGAGGCAUCUGAAGAACUGGUGAAGUGGUGUUAAAUUAUCUGAAGAACUUUCUAAUAGAGGGAGCAUCACAUGUAAAAACACAGUAUAUAAAUAGCAUGGUAAGAGUUCUAGAUGGUGUUGUGUUGAAUCUGAAAGGAGCAGGAGAUGAAAGCUAGGGAAUCAGUCAGGGUUUAAUGUGUUAUAUAUGAGAAUUCAGAGUGUAUUUCAUAGUCCCUGGUCACUUGAUUUCCUCUGUGAAGAAAAAAAAAAAAAGCUCCUUCAAUAUUCUACCUUUGUUCAUAAACAUAUCCAUGUCACUCUUCUCUUUUCCAAUCUUCAUUGCACUGGAUGACUAAACCUUCCCUGAUUCUUGAUUAUCAUUCUCUGACCUUACUUCGUCAUUUAAUCUCUUCCUCUGGCUUCAGUUUUAUUGGCAUCUUCCUUAAAAACUAUAUACACAUUCCUAUCCUUAAAAACAAAAACAAACAAAAAACCCAUCACCUCUGAGGCUUCAUCUCUUUUCAGAACUAGGCACCUCAAGCUCUUCAAAAGAAGUUUCUCCACACAGCUUCUGUUUUCUUUCCUCCACUGAUACCUUAGUUGAUUUCUCUUCUGCAUUUGACAUUACUCAUCACUCCUCUGAUGCUCUUGUGACCAUCAUGUUCAUACUCAUCCAAAAAUAACCAAUUGUUUGCUCUUCUCCUUCUCCAGCUGUCCCUUUUUAGUCUCUUUUGCUAUGUUAUCCCCUGAAUUACUACCAUUCUCCCUUCUCUCUAAUAAAGGAAAAUCCUCAGUGAUAUUACUUCCCCUUGGGUAAUAAUGCUUCUCUCUUGUUACAACUAUCUUUCUGUUAUCUCCAAACUUUGUUCUUAUCAGUCUAAUCUAUACUUGUCCGCACUUACUGUUCUCAAUCUCCCUUUACUUCACCCAUCAGUUUGAAACCCCAACACUGGACUAAAUCUGUUCUGCCAACUGUUACAGAUGUUCACUUAUUCAGGAAGUCUAAUCAUGUCAGGUCUUUUGCUUGCUCAAUCACUUACAGAAGUCAACACUUUGUUCUUUGCUGAACAUUUCCUAUUAUCUGAAUCGAUGGCUCUCAAAAUAUCUCCUGGUUCUCCCCUAACCACUCAGAUUAAUCUUCUACCUCAGCCUCUAUCUAAAAGUUAAAUAUUCUCUCAUGUUCAGAUCUCUUGACUAUAUCCCUGGAUAAGACCAGCCUGAUAUCUUAAGAACAUUCACCUAGACCAGAACCCCAAAUGAUAAAGGAAUGGCUGUUGAACAUUUGGUAUUGGAAUAAUUUUUUCUU